Ribosomal RNA from Toxoplasma gondii ME49, 1001 nucleotides. Lineage: Eukaryota; Apicomplexa; Conoidasida; Eucoccidiorida; Sarcocystidae. The record is from RefSeq and is a predicted model, not a curated record.
UCAUAUGCUUGUCUUAAAGAUUAAGCCAUGCAUGUCUAAGUAUAAGCUUUUAUACGGCUAAACUGCGAAUGGCUCAUUAAAACAGUUAUAGUUUAUUUGAUGGUCUUUACUACAUGGAUAACCGUGGUAAUUCUAUGGCUAAUACAUGCGCACAUGCCUCUUCCCCUGGAAGGGCAGUGUUUAUUAGAUACAGAACCAACCCACCUUCCGGUGGUCCUCAGGUGAUUCAUAGUAACCGAACGGAUCGCGUUGACUUCGGUCUGCGACGGAUCAUUCAAGUUUCUGACCUAUCAGCUUUCGACGGUACUGUAUUGGACUACCGUGGCAGUGACGGGUAACGGGGAAUUAGGGUUCGAUUCCGGAGAGGGAGCCUGAGAAACGGCUACCACAUCUAAGGAAGGCAGCAGGCGCGCAAAUUACCCAAUCCUGAUUCAGGGAGGUAGUGACAAGAAAUAACAACACUGGAAAUUUCAUUUCUAGUGAUUGGAAUGAUAGGAAUCCAAACCCCUUUCAGAGUAACAAUUGGAGGGCAAGUCUGGUGCCAGCAGCCGCGGUAAUUCCAGCUCCAAUAGCGUAUAUUAAAGUUGUUGCAGUUAAAAAGCUCGUAGUUGGAUUUCUGCUGGAAGCAGCCAGUCCGCCCUCAGGGGUGUGCACUUGGUGAAUUCUAGCAUCCUUCUGGAUUUCUCCACACUUCAUUGUGUGGAGUUUUUUCCAGGACUUUUACUUUGAGAAAAUUAGAGUGUUUCAAGCAGGCUUGUCGCCUUGAAUACUGCAGCAUGGAAUAAUAAGAUAGGAUUUCGGCCCUAUUUUGUUGGUUUCUAGGACUGAAGUAAUGAUUAAUAGGGACGGUUGGGGGCAUUCGUAUUUAACUGUCAGAGGUGAAAUUCUUAGAUUUGUUAAAGACGAACUACUGCGAAAGCAUUUGCCAAAGAUGUUUUCAUUAAUCAAGAACGAAAGUUAGGGGCUCGAAGACGAUCAGAUACCGUCGUAGUCUUAACCAU